RNAcentral lists this ribosomal RNA (253 nucleotides) under uncultured bacterium. RNAcentral describes it as "partial 16S ribosomal RNA". It matches the Rfam family "Bacterial small subunit ribosomal RNA", at positions 524 to 776 of the family's 1533-position model. The record is from RNAcentral.
UACGGAGGGGGCUAGCGUUGUUCGGAAUUACUGGGCGUAAAGCGCGUGUAGGCGGCCCGCUAAGUCUGAUGUGAAAGCCCGGGGCUCACCCCCGGAAGUGCAUUGGAGACUGGCGGGCUCGAGUCCCGGAGAGGAGGGUGGAAUUCCUGGUGUAGCGGUGAAAUGCGUAGAUAUCAGGAGGAACACCGGUGGCGAAGGCGGUUCUCUGGGCAUUACCUGACGCUGAGGAGCGAAAGUGUGGGGAGCGAACAGG